This 402-nucleotide ribosomal RNA is filed under the name uncultured bacterium. RNAcentral describes it as "bacterial SSU rRNA". It matches the Rfam family "Bacterial small subunit ribosomal RNA", at positions 954 to 1358 of the family's 1533-position model. The record is from RNAcentral.
GCUUAACGCGAAGAACCUUACCCACCUUUGACAUGUACGGAAUUUGCCAGAGAUGGCUUAGUGCUCGAAAGAGAACCGUAACACAGGUGCUGCAUGGCUGUCGUCAGCUCGUGUCGUGAGAUGUUGGGUUAAGUCCCGCAACGAGCGCAACCCUUGUCAUUAGUUGCUACGAAAGGGCACUCUAAUGAGACUGCCGGUGACAAACCGGAGGAAGGUGGGGAUGACGUCAAGUCCUCAUGGCCCUUAUAGGUGGGGCUACACACGUCAUACAAUGGCCGGUACAAAGGGCAGCCAACCCGCGAGGGGGAGCCAAUCCCAAAAACGCCGGCCUCAGUACGGAUAAGAGUCUGCAACUCGACUCUUUGAAGGCGGAAUCGCUAGUAAUCCCUGAUCAGCAUAGCA